This 460-nucleotide ribosomal RNA is filed under the name uncultured bacterium. Its description in RNAcentral is "partial 16S ribosomal RNA". It matches the Rfam family "Bacterial small subunit ribosomal RNA", at positions 338 to 795 of the family's 1533-position model. The record is from RNAcentral.
CCUACGGGUGGCAGCAGUGAGGAAUAUUGGUCAAUGGACGCAAGUCUGAACCAGCCAUGCCGCGUGCAGGAAGACGGCUCUAUGAGUUGUAAACUGCUUUUGUACGGGGGUAAACGCAGAUACGCGUAUCUGUCUGAAAGUAUCGUACGAAUAAGGAUCGGCUAACUCCGUGCCAGCAGCCGCGGUAAUACGGAGGAUUCAAGCGUUAUCCGGAUUUAUUGGGUUUAAAGGGUGCGUAGGCGGUCGGAUAAGUUAGAGGUGAAAUCCCGAGGCUCAACUUCGGAAUUGCAUCUGAUACUGUGCGGCUAGAGAGUAGGUGCGGUAGGCGGAAUGUAUGGUGUAGCGGUGAAAUGCGUAGAGAUCAGACAGAACACCGAUGGCGAAGGCAGCUUACCAAGCUACUUCUGACGUUGAGGCACGAAAGCGUGGGGAGCAAACAGGAUUAGAUACCCGGGUAGUC